This 92-nucleotide transfer RNA is filed under the name Cyclobacteriaceae bacterium. RNAcentral's name for it is "tRNA-Ser". It matches the Rfam family "tRNA". Rfam says of the family: Transfer RNA (tRNA) molecules are approximately 80 nucleotides in length. Their secondary structure includes four short double-helical elements and three loops (D, anti-codon, and T loops). The record is from RNAcentral. Lineage: Bacteria; Pseudomonadati; Bacteroidota; Cytophagia; Cytophagales; Cyclobacteriaceae.
GGAGAGGUGGGUGAGUGGCUGAAACCAGCAGUUUGCUAAACUGUCGUACAUGUCAAAGUGUACCGGGGGUUCGAAUCCCCCCCUCUCCGCCA